Molecule: ribosomal RNA, 641 nt
Filed under: uncultured Chitinophaga sp.
Lineage: Bacteria; Pseudomonadati; Bacteroidota; Chitinophagia; Chitinophagales; Chitinophagaceae
Description: bacterial SSU rRNA
Rfam family: Bacterial small subunit ribosomal RNA
Source: RNAcentral
GAUGAACGCUAGCGGCAGGCCUAAUACAUGCAAGUCGAGGGGCAGCACAGGUAGCAAUACUGGGUGGCGACCGGCAAACGGGUGCGGAACACGUACGUAACCUUCCUUUAAGUGGGAGAUAGCCCGAAGAAAUUCGGAUUAAUACCCCAUAAGAUUGUGGAGUGGCAUCACUCAGCAAUUAAAGAAUUUCGCUUAAAGAUGGGCGUGCGGCUGAUUAGGUAGUUGGUGAGGUAACGGCUCACCAAGCCAACGAUCAGUAACUGGCGUGAGAGCGCGACCAGUCACACGGGCACUGAGACACGGGCCCGACUCCUACGGGAGGCAGCAGUAAGGAAUAUUGGUCAAUGGACGGAAGUCUGAACCAGCCAUGCCGCGUGAAGGAUGAAGGUCCUCUGGAUUGUAAACUUCUUUUAUGUGGGAAGAAACCACUCUUUUCUAAGGGUGUUGACGGUACCAUAGGAAUAAGCACCGGCUAACUCCGUGCCAGCAGCCGCGGUAAUACGGAGGGUGCAAGCGUUAUCCGGAUUCACUGGGUUUAAAGGGUGCGUAGGCGGAUUAGUAAGUCCGUGGUGAAAUCUCCGAGCUUAACUCGGAAACUGCCGUGGAUACUAUUAGUCUUGAAUGUUGUGGAGGUUAGCGGA